Molecule: ribosomal RNA, 819 nt
Filed under: Plectosphaerella cucumerina
Lineage: Eukaryota; Fungi; Ascomycota; Sordariomycetes; Glomerellales; Plectosphaerellaceae
Description: partial large subunit ribosomal RNA
Rfam family: Eukaryotic large subunit ribosomal RNA
Source: RNAcentral
CAACAGGGAUUGCCUCAGUAACGGCGAGUGAAGCGGCAACAGCUCAAAUUUGAAAUCUGGCUCCUUCGGGGUCCGAGUUGUAAUUUGCAGAGGAUGCGUCGGGUACGGGUCCCUACCGAGUUCCCUGGAACGGGACGCCAUAGAGGGUGAGAGCCCCGUCUGGUAGGAUACCCAGCCCAUGUGACGCUCCCUCGACGAGUCGAGUAGUUUGGGAAUGCUGCUCUAACGGGAGGUAUACUCCUUCCAAAGCUAAAUACCGGCUGGAGACCGAUAGCGCACAAGUAGAGUGAUCGAAAGAUGAAAAGCACUUUGAAAAGAGAGUCAAACAGCACGUGAAAUUGUUAAAAGGGAAGCACUCGCUACCAGACUUGGGUUUGGCGGUUCAACCGGGGCCACGCCCCGGGGCAUUCCGCCAGCUCAGGCCAGCAUCAGCUUUCCGUCGGGGGCAAAGACGUCGGGAAUGUGGCUCCCCCUCGGGGGAGUGUUAUAGCCCGGCGUGUCAUACCCUUCGGGGGGCUGAGGUACGCGCUUCUGCAAGGAUGCUGGCGUAAUGGUAGCUAGUGACCCGUCUUGAAACACGGACCAAGGAGUCAACCUUAUGUGCGAGUGCCCGGGCGUAAAACCCCAGCGCGGAAUGAAAGUGAACGUAGGUGAGAGCUUCGGCGCAUCACCGACCGAUCCUGAUGUCCUCGGACGGAUUUGAGUGAGAGCAUAUAGGGUUGGACCCGAAAGAAGAUGAACUAUGCGUGUGUAGGGUGAAGCCAGAGGAAACUCUGGUGGAGGCUCGCAGCGGUUCUGACGUGCAAAUCGAUCGUCAAA